GGGCUUGCUUUAUAGGGAGGUGGGGGAAAAGGAAGGGAUAUAGCCACUGCUGCUUUUGGAAUACUGAAUGAGAACUUUAUUGUCAGUGUCCCCAUGUUCGGACCUAGAAGUGUGCAAGAUAAUCCCAGGAUUCUUGAGAGGUUUGAAUUAAGAACUACUUUCAUUAGUUUAGGGCUUCUGACUCAAGGUCCUUUUUUCCUCUUUGCUUAGAGACCUAACAGACCAUGGGUAGGGAGAAAGAUUUCCUCUAACUCCUGCUUCAGAGGGCGUUGCUAUUGCCUGAAGCUAAUCAAAGUUUCAUGUUGAUGAAGAUCUAAAGCAUCUGUGAGUGGCCUGCCUUAAAAUCUUAGCCGCCUGAGGCAGCCCUUGCUCACUCCACAAGGAACCACCCAGUAGUGGGAGUUUAAGGGCAGUUGGCAAAUCCGUGUGGGACCUGAGGAUCUUGAGAUCUCUUCUUUCCAGGAGCCCUGAUCUGCAGCUUUACUCUACGAUGGAUGCGUGUUUCUUCUGAUGGUAAGGACCCCCACCUCUGGCCCGAACCUGAGGCCUGUGGGCCUCGCUUCGCCAAAGGCUGCAAGAUGAGCCAGAAUCUGACUUGCUGCUACAACUUGCUUGGCGCCCUCCUCCCUCCCCACAUGCAGAACACACACAACGGACAGGAUUUUCCAGGUGUCUUCGACCUGUUUGUCUCCAUUUUCCUCCAUGAGUCAAAGGUUUUUCAUUUUGUUUUUCUGCGCUUUUAUCCCCGUGUCCUCUUUCAUUCCUUCACUUUUCUUUUCCCAUUUCCCCCUAGUUCCGCUGAGACUUCCGACCCCCAACCCUGUGCCCCUGGGCCUGGUGCCAUAAAAGUGAGCUAGAGUUGGACGGUUCAAACCGGUGUGUUGUAAAGCUG
Molecule: long non-coding RNA, 892 nt
Filed under: Ornithorhynchus anatinus (platypus)
Lineage: Eukaryota; Metazoa; Chordata; Mammalia; Monotremata; Ornithorhynchidae
Description: lncRNA (ENSOANG00000043780.1)
Source: RNAcentral